This 275-nucleotide unclassified non-coding RNA is filed under the name Ascomycota sp. RNAcentral's name for it is "partial contains 5.8S ribosomal RNA, internal transcribed spacer 2, and large subunit ribosomal RNA". The stretch from base 1 to 71 matches the Rfam family "5.8S ribosomal RNA", at positions 84 to 154 of the family's 154-position model. Lineage: Eukaryota; Fungi; Ascomycota. The record is from RNAcentral.
GUGAAUCAUCGAAUCUUUGAACGCACAUUGCGCCCUUUGGUAUUCCGAAGGGCAUGCCUGUUCGAGCGUCAUUUAAACUCUCAAGCAUCGCUUGGUAUUGGGUCAGGUCCUCGUAGACCGACCUGUAACUCCUUUGGCAAAACGUGUCGGCUUCAAGCGUAGCAAAACUUUCGCUUCGUGGUCGACAUCCGAGCCAGUUAAGACUUUACUUUCAAGUUUGACCUCGGAUCAGGUAGGGAUACCCGCUGAACUUAAGCAUAUCAAUAAGCGGAGGA